RNAcentral lists this ribosomal RNA (567 nucleotides) under uncultured bacterium. RNAcentral's name for it is "partial 16S ribosomal RNA". It matches the Rfam family "Bacterial small subunit ribosomal RNA", at positions 355 to 914 of the family's 1533-position model. The record is from RNAcentral.
UGGGGAAUUUUGGACAAUGGGGGAAACCCUGAUCCAGCCAUCCCGCGUGUGCGAUGAAGGCCUUCGGGUUGUAAAGCACUUUUGGCAGGAAAGAAACGUCGCGGGUUAAUACCCCGCGAAACUGACGGUACCUGCAGAAUAAGCACCGGCUAACUACGUGCCAGCAGCCGCGGUAAUACGUAGGGUGCAAGCGUUAAUCGGAAUUACUGGGCGUAAAGCGUGCGCAGGCGGUUCGGAAAGAAAGAUGUGAAAUCCCAGAGCUUAACUUUGGAACUGCAUUUUUUAACUACCGGGCUAGAGUGUGUCAGAGGGAGGUGGAAUUCCGCGUGUAGCAGUGAAAUGCGUAGAUAUGCGGAGGAACACCGAUGGCGAAGGCAGCCUCCUGGGAUAACACUGACGCUCAUGCACGAAAGCGUGGGGAGCAAACAGGAUUAGAUACCCUGGUAGUCCACGCCCUAAACGAUGUCAACUAGCUGUUGGGGCCUUCGGGCCUUGGUAGCGCAGCUAACGCGUGAAGUUGACCGCCUGGGGAGUACGGUCGCAAGAUUAAAACUCAAAUGAAUUGAC